UCUCUCUGAAUCUGCGAACGGCUCCGCAAACCUGCUGUAACCCAAAGCGUGCUCCCGGUGCGCGGUGUGGGCUUGCCCCCGGUCGCUGCGCCGCUGCCAUAUGGUCAACCUUGGUAAUUCUGAGGCUAAUACAUGCGAUACCCACACCCUUUGCUGGGCGGCCUCGGCUGCUCGGCUGGGCGUGCGGACAAAAGAUCUAAUCCGCAACACGCCACGAAUGGACGCACGCUCUGACCGCAUACGUUGGUUGGGCCCUCGCGGGCCUGGCUUCCGGCGGUACAUGCAGCGGGCUCCAGACCUAUCAACCAGACGGCAGCUUACCGGACAUGCCACGGUAGCAACGGGUACAGAGGAUUAGAGUUCGAUCCUGGAGAGUGGGCCUGAGAGAUU
This 390-nucleotide ribosomal RNA is filed under the name uncultured myxomycete. RNAcentral's name for it is "SSU rRNA". It matches the Rfam family "Eukaryotic small subunit ribosomal RNA", at positions 76 to 405 of the family's 1831-position model. Lineage: Eukaryota; Evosea; Eumycetozoa. The record is from RNAcentral.